CAACCGGACGAACGGGUGCGUAACACGUGCAGCAACCUACCGAAAUGAGGGGGAUAGCCGGCCCAACGGCCGGGUAAUACCGCAUACGCUCGAGACCAGGCAUUUGGACUCGAGGAAACCUCCGGGGCAUUUCGAGGGGCUCGCGGCCUAUCAGCUAGUUGGUGAGGUAACGGCUCACCAAGGCGACGACGGGUAGCUGGUCUGAGAGGAUGGCCAGCCACAUUGGGACUGAAAUACGGCCCAGACUCCUACGGGAGGCAGCAGUGGGGAAUAUUGCGCAAUGGGCGAAAGCCUGACGCAGCAACGCCGCGUGGGUGAAGAAGGCCUUCGGGUUGUAAAGCCCUGUCGGAGGGAAAGAAUACUGCGGAUGACCUCCGUAGUUGACGGUACCCUCAAAGGAAGCACUGGCUAACUCCGUGCCAGCAGCCGCGGUAAUACGGAGAGUGCAAGCGUUGUUCGGAAUUAUUGGGCGUAAAGCGCGUGUAGGCGGUCCAACAAGUCUGGCGUGAAAGCCUUGAGCUCAACUCAAGAAGUGCGCUGGAAACUGUCGGACUUGAGUACUGGAGGGGGAGGUGGAAUUCUCGAGUGUAGAGGUGAAAUUCGUAGAUAUUCGGAAGAACAUCAGUGGCGAAGGCGACCUCCUGGACAGAUACUGACGCUGAGACGCGAAAGCGUGGGUAGCAAACAGGAUUAGAUACCCCUGGUAGUCCACGCUGUAAACGAUGGAUGCUAGUUGUCGCGGGUAACCAACCCUGCGGUAACGAAGCUAACGCGAUAAGCAUCCCGCCUGGGGAUUACGGCCGCAAGGCUAAAACUCAAAGGAAUUGACGGGGGCCCGCACAAGCGGUGGAGUAUGUGGUUUAAUUCGACGCAACGCGCAGAACCUUACCCAGGCUUGACAUCCCCGAAACCCGGCCGAAAAGCUGGGGUGCUCGCAAGAGAAUCGGGUGACAGGUGCUGCAUGGCUGUCGUCAGCUCGUGUCGUGAGAUGUUGGGUUAAGUCCCGCAACGAGCGCAACCCUUGUCCUUAGUUGCUAACGAGUCAAGUCGAGAACCCUAAGGAAACUGUCGGUGGUAAACCGGAGGAAGGUGGGGAUGACGUCAAGUCCUCAUGGCCUUUAUGUCCAGGGCUACACACGUGCUACAAUGGGCGGUACAAAGGGUCGCAAACCCGCGAGGGGGAGCCAAUCCCAUAAAACCGUUCUCAGUUCGGAU
RNAcentral lists this ribosomal RNA (1215 nucleotides) under uncultured bacterium. RNAcentral describes it as "bacterial SSU rRNA". It matches the Rfam family "Bacterial small subunit ribosomal RNA", at positions 91 to 1298 of the family's 1533-position model. The record is from RNAcentral.